GGUCCUAUAGUGUAGCUCGGUUAUCACUUUCGGUUUUGAUGGAUUUUGUCAAAUUUCCGAACAACAUCAGUUCGAAUCUGGUUAGGACCU
This 90-nucleotide transfer RNA is filed under the name Lodderomyces elongisporus. Its description in RNAcentral is "tRNA-Gln". It matches the Rfam family "tRNA". Rfam says of the family: Transfer RNA (tRNA) molecules are approximately 80 nucleotides in length. Their secondary structure includes four short double-helical elements and three loops (D, anti-codon, and T loops). Lineage: Eukaryota; Fungi; Ascomycota; Pichiomycetes; Serinales; Debaryomycetaceae. The record is from RNAcentral.